AUUGAACGCUGGCGGCAGGCUUAACACAUGCAAGUCGAGCGGUAACAGAGAGAAGCUUGCUUCUCUGCUGACGAGCGGCGGACGGGUGAGUAAUGCCUAGGAAUCUGCCUAGUAGUGGGGGAUAACUUGCCGAAAGGUAAGCUAAUACCGCAUACGUCCUACGGGAGAAAGGAGGGGACCUUCGGGCCUUUCGCUAUUAGAUGAGCCUAGGUCGGAUUAGUUAGUUGGUGAGGUAAUGGCUCACCAAGACCGCGAUCCGUAACUGGUCUGAGAGGAUGAUCAGUCACACUGGAACUGAGACACGGUCCAGACUCCUACGGGAGGCAGCAGUGGGGAAUAUUGGACAAUGGGGGGAACCCUGAUCCAGCCAUGCCGCGUGUGUGAAGAAGGUCUUAGGAUUGUAAAGCACUUUAAGUUGGGAGGAAGAGCAGUUAACUAAUAUUUGACUGUUUUGACGUUACCGACAGAAUAAGCACCGGCUAACUUCGUGCCAGCAGCCGCCGCCG
Molecule: ribosomal RNA, 506 nt
Filed under: uncultured bacterium
Lineage: Bacteria
Description: partial 16S ribosomal RNA
Rfam family: Bacterial small subunit ribosomal RNA
Source: RNAcentral